GUUCCACCCUGAACGCACCCAAUCUCGUCUGAUCUUAGAAGUUAAGCAGGGUCAGGCCUGUUUAGUACUUGGAUGGGAGAACCUAAGUAUUUCAAGAAACC
Molecule: ribosomal RNA, 101 nt
Organism: Mustela putorius furo (domestic ferret)
Lineage: Eukaryota; Metazoa; Chordata; Mammalia; Carnivora; Mustelidae
Source: Ensembl